RNAcentral lists this ribosomal RNA (231 nucleotides) under Streptococcus pneumoniae. RNAcentral's name for it is "partial 23S ribosomal RNA". It matches the Rfam family "Bacterial large subunit ribosomal RNA", at positions 1454 to 1685 of the family's 2925-position model. Lineage: Bacteria; Bacillati; Bacillota; Bacilli; Lactobacillales; Streptococcaceae. The record is from RNAcentral.
CGUUUGAGCAAUGGGGGGACGCAGAAGGAUAGGGUGAGCGUGCCGUUGGUUGUGCACGUCCAAGUUGUGAGAUGAGAAACGAGGCAAAUCCCGUUUCUAGAUACAUCAAGCAGUGAUGGCAAGAGGUUUACCUCAGAGUCCCUGAUUUCACACUGCCAAGAAAAGCCUCUAGCGAGGCGGGAGGUGCCCGUACCGCAAACCGACACAGGUAGGCGAGAAGAGAAUUCUAAG